Molecule: ribosomal RNA, 254 nt
Filed under: uncultured prokaryote
Description: partial 16S ribosomal RNA
Rfam family: Bacterial small subunit ribosomal RNA
Source: RNAcentral
UACGGAGGAUGCGAGCGUUAUCCGGAUUUAUUGGGUUUAAAGGGUGCGUAGGCGGCUUUUUAAGUCAGCGGUGAAAUUUUGCAGCUUAACUGUAACAGUGCCGUUGAUACUGGGGAGCUAGGAUUUGGUUGCUGUGGGUGGAAUGUGUGGUGUAGCGGUGAAAUGCUUAGAGAUCACACAGAAUAUCGAUUGCGAAGGCAGCUCACAAAGCCAAGAUUGACGCUGAGGCACGAAAGUGUGGAGAUCAAACAGGA